UGUUUUUUAAGAUUUAUUCAUGAGAGACAUGGAGAGAGAGGGAGAGACACAGGCAGAGGGAGAAGGAGGCUCAUGCAGGGAGCCCGACGUGGGACUCGAUCCGGGGUCUCCAGGAUCACCCCCGAGCCACCCAGCGGCCCGUCACUAGGUGCAAACAAGGUUUCUGCAGUUGAGACAAUCUCUGAAGGGCUGGCCCCUGCCAGUGGCCCUCCCAGCAACUGGAACAAACAUAUAUCAUCCAAGAGGGAUCUGCACAUAGACUACAGUAUCCACCGCUGUCAUCGCAAUGCCAAGAUUUUAUCACUUUGAAAUUUCUUCUGUCAAUUCUCUAUCCUCAGGUAAGCCUGCUAGUUAACAGGAUUAAGGCUCCUAUAAUCUGCUGCCUCAACUAUUGAACCAGUCCCAUAUCUGUUACUUGUCUACCUCUAUUCCAGCCUUCAUAUCCUCCUUUGCUGGGAAUGAAAUUGUCAGUUUUAUUCUUAAAAUACUGAAUGGCUUCCUGUUGCCCAUAAGAUUAAAGUUUAAAUCAACAUUUACCAAACUGUGUUUCAUAAAACACUAGUCUGUAGAGAAG
Long non-coding RNA from Canis lupus familiaris (dog), 574 nucleotides. RefSeq lists it as uncharacterized. The record is from RefSeq and is a predicted model, not a curated record. Lineage: Eukaryota; Metazoa; Chordata; Mammalia; Carnivora; Canidae. The transcript is spliced from 2 exons.